AACGAACGCUGGCGGCAGGCUUAACACAUGCAAGUCGAACGGGCACCUUCGGGUGUCAGUGGCAGACGGGUGAGUAACGCGUGGGAACGUACCCUUCGGUUCGGAAUAACCCACGGGAAACUUGGGCUAAUACCGGAUACGUCCGUAAGGAGAAAGAUUUAUUGUCGAAGGAUCGGCCCGCGUCGGAUUAGCUAGUUGGUGGGGUAAGUGGCCCACCAACGGCGACGAUCCGUAGCUGGUCUGAGAGGANGAUCAGCCACACUGGGACUGAGACACGGCCCAGACUCC
This 288-nucleotide ribosomal RNA is filed under the name uncultured bacterium. RNAcentral's name for it is "partial 16S ribosomal RNA". It matches the Rfam family "Bacterial small subunit ribosomal RNA", at positions 29 to 339 of the family's 1533-position model. The record is from RNAcentral.